RNAcentral lists this ribosomal RNA (1026 nucleotides) under Triticum aestivum (bread wheat). Its description in RNAcentral is "partial small subunit ribosomal RNA". Lineage: Eukaryota; Viridiplantae; Streptophyta; Magnoliopsida; Poales; Poaceae. The record is from RNAcentral.
AUGUACAAAGAUAUAACCGAGCUUGUUGGCAUGGAAGAGGAAAGGGACGCGCUGAUUUAUAGGUUAGCAGAAGGUGGCGAGGGGUCAAAGCAACAACUGAAGACAAUUUCUGUCGUCGGGCUAGGCGGACUGGGCAAGACAACCCUUGUAAGAGCAGUGUAUGAGAAGAUCAAAACUCAGUUUGAUUGCUGGGCUUUUGUUUCAGUGUCUCGAACUCCCGACAUGAAGAAAAUUUUCAAGGACAUGCUCUAUGGACUUGACGAGCACAAGUUUGAAGAAAUACAUAGCACAUCAAGGGAUGAAAAGCUGCUCAUUGACAAACUCCGUGAGUUUCUUGAGCACAAGAGGUACCUCAUCGUAGUUGAUGACAUAUGGGAUGAGAAAAUAUGGGAUAUUAUCAAGUGUGCUUUAUCUAGCAACAAUCUUGGUAGUCGAAUAAUCACAACAACUCGCAGCAUCAAUGUCUCUGAAGCAUGCUGCUCUUCUGGUGUUGACAUAAUUCAUAGAAUGAAACCUCUUUCCGAUAGAAACUCCCAGAGGCUCUUCUAUAGAAGAAUAUUUCAGAAUGAGCAUGGAUGUCCCGUUGAGUUGGAAGAAGUGUCCAUAGAUAUCUUGAGGAAAUGUGGCGGGGUACCAUUAGCCGUUAUUGCUAUCGCUAGUCUACUGGCUAGUAAUCAACAGAUGAAGUCAAAGGAUCAAUGGUGCAAUUUGCUCGAGUCUAUUGGGCAUGGACUUAUUGGAGGUGAUGUUGUGGAGGACAUGAAGAAGAUAUUAUCAUUUAGCUAUUAUGAUAUGCCUCCCCAUCUAAAGAGUUGUUUCUUAUAUUUAAGUAUAUUUCCAGAAGACUGCGAGAUUGAGAUAGAGAGAUUGAUUUGGAGGUGGAUAGCUGAAGGUCUUAUCCAUCAUGAAGAACAAGGGAAGAGUUUAUUUGAGGUUGGCGAGAGUUAUGUCAAUGAGCUAAUAAAUAGAAGUAUGAUCAUGCCAGUAGAGAUUGAUUGUGACAAGCUGCAAUCGGAGGGUGCAUGA